This is a non-coding RNA of Acanthosepion pharaonis, 98 nucleotides long. Lineage: Eukaryota; Metazoa; Mollusca; Cephalopoda; Sepiida; Sepiidae. The record is from the annotation of a GenBank genome assembly.
AUUGAAACACCAGUUCCCGUACGAUCACCGAAGUUAAACAACGUCAAGCCUGGUCAGACCUAGAUGGGUGACCUCUUGGGAAUACCAUGAACUGUAAG